GAAAAGCACUUUGAAGAGAGAGUUCAAUAGACCGUGAAACCGUUGGGAGGGAAGCUCAGGGUGUCGAGGUUGUCGUGCUCUGUCUAAGUUCAGCCGGUGGUGUCGGGGUUGCCUUACGCUGCUGGUGCAUUCUUGGGCGGAGUUGGACCGUCAGUUGGGAAGAGGCCGGGACCUGUUUGUCGGCGGUCGGGAGGUACGCCUUGGACCUCCUUUGGGGUUCAAGGUGACGUAUAGCCGUUCCGUCGUGGUCCCGGUGUCUCUUUCAGGUGCGUUGGAUGUCUGAUCGUCCAGAACAGUAAGAUGCAGUCUCUCUUUCGUGGGGGACCGGGCCCGUUUGGCAGUCGCGAUGCGUUGGUGAGCCGUGUUCCGUUCUCUCUCCGUUUAGCUUCGGCUUGCGGGGCAAGAGUGCGGCACGUCACUCCAGCGACGUUGUCCUGUCCAGGCGGUGUUCCAAGUUGUCUGCGUCGAGGCGACUGGCGAAGAGUCGUUACCCUGUGCCCCGUCUUGAAACACGGACCAAGGAGUGCAAGAGAUGCGCAAGUCGGAAGGGUUGUGACGGGGGUUGCCUCUAGGGGCUUCCUCCUCCCCGAAAGACCCAUGUGUUUAUGGAACGGGCGAAGUGAGAGCAAUUCAUGGGUGCGAGAGCCCGGGGGAGACCCUGGGCGCAUCGCUGGCCGAGCCGUAUGGUCACGCUGUGGCCGGUUUCGAGUGCGAGCGUAUCUGUUGCGACCCGAAAGAUGGUGAACUAUGCCUGAGGAGGGUGAAGCCAGAGGAAACUCUGGUGGAGGCCCGUAGCGGUUCUGACGUGCAAAUCGAUCGUCGCACUUGGGUAUAGGGGCGAAAGACUAAUCGAACC
This 856-nucleotide ribosomal RNA is filed under the name Callyspongia sp. 1 JV-2020. RNAcentral describes it as "partial large subunit ribosomal RNA". It matches the Rfam family "Eukaryotic large subunit ribosomal RNA", at positions 366 to 941 of the family's 3401-position model. Lineage: Eukaryota; Metazoa; Porifera; Demospongiae; Haplosclerida; Callyspongiidae. The record is from RNAcentral.